ACUGUAUUGUCCUGGAGAUUAUAAUGUAGGAGAUGUGAAGUAGGAUUGUGAGUGGGACAGGAUUGUGAUUAUUUGUUUGCGAUGUAAAGCAAAGGUAAAACCACUGGGUGUGGUAAAAUAAUGUGUUUCCAUGACUUGUAGUAGAUUAUACUAUAGGAAUGUGUUAUUAGGAUUUUGUGAAGAGAGUACAUAAUGAUUGUGAUGUAAGCAGAGAGAUACAAACCACUGCUUGUGGAACGACGAGUGUUAUUAUUAUUGGCAACAACUGAGCACAUAUUGUAGUAUUAUGUUUAAGACAUGUCGUUUGUCAUAUGUUGCAUCCAUUGCUGAAUAUGCCAGUGUUAUGAUCGUCUGAGCAUAGAAUAUUGCGUAAGGCAAUUACUUUCAUUUAAUUUUAAAUAAAUGUAUAUUUACUUUUUCCCUUGUUUAUCCCCGAACACCAGUCUCCAAUAACAACUUAAGCCGGAUCACGCUACCAGGGAUACGAGACAGUGAGAUCAUUUAUGGAGUAAUUAAUGAGUGAUAAAAGAGUUGAUUUAAUACAAGAAAAGAAGGGUCUAAAACUGGCGGCAGCGGUAUAGGGAUAAAUAGGGACAUGUGCUUACAGUGCUUUUGUUUAAUUUACUCUGACGAGAAAACGCCUCUUAUUUUCAUUAAGCUUUACUCGUUUUAAGUGGCGGAAAUAAUAGUGACGAUUUAAUUAUAUAAUUAAUGGUUCUUCCGGAGGACAUGGACUUUGACGAUAUGGUAAUGGAAACUCUGGCCAACCACUGUUGUUCUGUAGUGCAAUGGGUAGCACACGCGACUCAACCGAGAAUUCAUGAGUUCCUUCCCGGGCGGAGUGGAGAGGGAUGGGCAGUCUCUCUCCACCCGCGCCGCGAUCCAUUCAUCAGUGAGAGGGUGUCAGGUGACAGGCAGCGGCAGCGUCCUGCCUCUCAGGUUCUCUUCGCAGUGCUGAGUCCAUCCCCCUACAGGAGCUAACAGCUGGCUUGCAGCCCCUAAAUUAUGUGGUCGAGCCGGAUCAGCCCUUUCAACCCGCAAUCCAUUGGUGGAUUGUCUUCGCCAUUGUCGUGAUCCUGGUUCUUCUGCUGGUGACGUCUGCCGUGGGGUAUUCCUAUGUCCUACGCUACGCACGACGCCGCCUAAUUCCAGACUCGAACCAACUGCAGACAUUGCAAGGCGUAUCUUCUCCACCAACACCUGUGAGAUCUCAGGGGCGAGAUC
Molecule: long non-coding RNA, 1224 nt
Organism: Eriocheir sinensis (Chinese mitten crab)
Lineage: Eukaryota; Metazoa; Arthropoda; Malacostraca; Decapoda; Varunidae
Exons: 2
Source: RefSeq, a predicted model, not a curated record